UUGCCUCCCAGUGAUUAAAGGUGCAUUCUACCACACCAAUGGCGAGAUUUUGUAACCACUAGUUUAUGCUGGAUAUACCGCUUUCUUCUGGGCUGGAAUAUGUUGUGUGAUGGACAGGACCAAUCCCCAGAAAAACCCUCCCUUAAAACUAAGUAUAGUGAGCUUCCCUAACAGAUAUCAUUUCACAGCUUCCUGCUGGGGAGUUAAGUACAUAUUACAUGACCAAUGGAGAGAAGACUCUUCUCCAGACAUAGUUCCUCCUUUUAAUGUUUCUUUAUGAUCUCCUACUAAACUAAAGUAUAGCCAUACUGAGUCUUUGUGAGCCAUGGUGAAUCACCAAAUCUGCAGAUGACCUUGGCUCACAGAAGAAAUAAAUUCAAAAUAAAAGAUUGGACCAAGAUAGUGGACUAAGGAUAUUCUUCUGCCUUUCAAGUGGCUUCACAUUACCUGGAAUAACAGAAGUAUUAUUUUUAAAACACUCAAUCAAUAAUAAACCUAGAAAACAGGAAACAGUGCCAGUGGCCAACUUAAAUGCCUAAGGAAUUCCGGCAAUGUCAAGAGUACUCAGAACCAGACUAUCUAGGCAAACCACCAAACCACACCAUGAGCUUGGGAGGAGGCUGUCGGCAGUGGAAAACAAUAGCGCCAUCCAGGCUCCAAAUAUGUAGACAAAGACAAGGAUAGAAUCCAACCACCCAGUCACCAGGAAACAGCAGCUGGGAUCGCUAAGAGUGUUAGAACUGAACCCCACAGCUUGAGUCACCCACAGUCCACCAAACAUCCCAAGGACAAUCCCACUCAACAACAGAGGAAAAAGUCAGCGAUUCUGAGAUGAGGCUACAGCCAAUGAGACAGGCAGGAAACAAGAAUUAUCAAAUUCGAGAUAAGGCACUCUCGCUUGAAUUCUACCCCAGACAUCGUGGGUCUGUGUUCUCCACUCUGGUCCAAAACAGAAUCUGACAGUGACGUCUGUACCAAGGCGCAAGGAACAAGAUUCCACUCGAGUCCAGCUGGCAGCAGCCAAAAUCCACAAAGGAAAAUGGAGUCAGUGUGAAAGGAAGUGAUUUUGAAGUGGAAGAUAAGUUGAAAGGAUCCACUAUGCAGCAUCCAUGAGGCCAUCAUCCCUAAUGAAGUAGAGCUUAGCAUGGUCCAACUGCUUUGGAGUCACCUGGUCUCCUGUACAUAACCCCUCGCUUCUCUCUAGGAAAAGUCAGCGCAACAACACAACACUAAGAACAAACAGACCUCAUCCCCUCUACAGAACAUGGACAAAUUCCACAAGAGGUAAUGCUGCAGCCAGGCACAGAGGAGCACACACGCUCUGCUUCCAUGAACACAAAACGGAAAAGCAGGCAAAACUCAACCACUGUAUUAGAAAUCAAAACAGUGGCUAUCCUUUGUGAUGAGCUGCCCGAGGAGGCCAUAAGAGGAAAAACAGGAGGAGCCCAUCACCUUGGAGCCAGAUAAAACCCCUCAGCAGCUGAGAUGCAAGAAUCCCAACACAAGACCAAUGCCUGUGGUAAAGGCUGCCAAAGACUGAAGCCUGAAUGCACAGGAUGCUGAGUAUCCCCCCUCCUCCCCAGCCACUGCCAGAGGCUCUCAAACAAGAUUUCACCUUAUUUAUGCAAGGACACCUUACC
Long non-coding RNA from Peromyscus leucopus (white-footed mouse), 1640 nucleotides. RefSeq lists it as uncharacterized. The transcript is spliced from 3 exons. The record is from RefSeq and is a predicted model, not a curated record. Lineage: Eukaryota; Metazoa; Chordata; Mammalia; Rodentia; Cricetidae.